CCUACGGGGGGCUGCAGUGGGGAAUAUUGCACAAUGGGCGCAAGCCUAAUGCAGCCAUGCCGCGUGUGUGAAGAAGGCCUUCGGGUUGUAAAGCACUUUCAGCGGGGAGGAAGGCGGUGAGGUUAAUAACCUCAUCGAUUGACGUUACCCGCAGAAGAAGCGCCGGCUAACUCCGUGCCAGCAGCCGCGGUAAUACGGAGGGUGCAAGCGUUAAUCGGAAUUACUGGGCGUAAAGCGCACGCAGGCGGUCUGUCAAGUCGGAUGUGAAAUCCCCGGGCUCAACCUGGGAACUGCAUUCGAAACUGGCAGGCUAGAGUCUUGUAGAGGGGGGUAGAAUUCCAGGUGUAGCGGUGAAAUGCGUAGAGAUCUGGAGGAAUACCGGUGGCGAAGGCGGCCCCCUGGACAAAGACUGACGCUCAGGUGCGAAAGCGUGGGGAGCAAACAGGAUUAGAUACCCUAGUAGUC
Molecule: ribosomal RNA, 465 nt
Filed under: uncultured Klebsiella sp.
Lineage: Bacteria; Pseudomonadati; Pseudomonadota; Gammaproteobacteria; Enterobacterales; Enterobacteriaceae
Description: bacterial SSU rRNA
Rfam family: Bacterial small subunit ribosomal RNA
Source: RNAcentral